Molecule: ribosomal RNA, 121 nt
Filed under: Apophysomyces elegans
Lineage: Eukaryota; Fungi; Mucoromycota; Mucoromycetes; Mucorales; Mucoraceae
Description: partial small subunit ribosomal RNA
Rfam family: Eukaryotic small subunit ribosomal RNA
Source: RNAcentral
ACCAUGAGCAAAUCAGAGUGUUUAAAGCAGGCUCAAUGGCUUGAAUGUGUUAGCAUGGAAUAAUGAAAUAUGGCUUGGGUCCUUAUUUCGUUGGUUUAUACGACCUUUGCAAUGAUAAAUA